RNAcentral lists this ribosomal RNA (776 nucleotides) under uncultured Neocallimastigales. RNAcentral describes it as "partial large subunit ribosomal RNA". It matches the Rfam family "Eukaryotic large subunit ribosomal RNA", at positions 22 to 615 of the family's 3401-position model. The record is from RNAcentral. Lineage: Eukaryota; Fungi; Neocallimastigomycota; Neocallimastigomycetes; Neocallimastigales.
CAUAGCGACUAUCGUGGCAUAUCAAUAAGCGGAGGAAAAGAAACUAACUAGGAUUCCCCUAGUAACGGCGAGUGAAGCGGGAAGAGCUCAAAUUUGAAAUCUUAAAGGUUUUCCCUUGACGAAUUGUAGUUUAAAGAAGUGUUUUCUGUUGAAGUUUUGGUAAAAGUUCUUUGGAAUAGGACAUCAUAGAGGGUGAGAAUCCCGUAUUUGACCAUUAUUUCCAGCUGUGUGAUACACUUUCAAAGAGUCGGAUUGUUUGGGAAUGCAGUCCAAAAUGGGUGGUAAAUUUCAUCUAAAGCUAAAUAUUGGCGAGAGACCGAUAGCGAACAAGUACCGUGAGGGAAAGAUGAAAAGAACUUUGAAAAGAGAGUUGAAACAGUACGUGAAAUUGUCAAAAGGGAAGCGUUUGACAGCCAGUGUUGUUUAGUUGAAAAUCAAUUCAAUAAUUUUUGAUUCUAAGUAGUAUUGACUUCAUCAGCUUGCUGCUUUCUUCUCAGAAAUUAUUGAAUGCACUUUUCAGUUAACAAGUCAACAUCAAUUUCUUUUGUUGUAAAAGGGUAAGAGGAAGGUGGCUUACGCUUCGGCGUAAGUGUUUAUAGCCUUUUACCUCUGCAAUCGGAGAGAUUGAGGACAGCAGCGUAGACUCUUCGGGGUUAGAUACACUUGUGCUAAGCUAUAGCCUUGUAUAGACAACUUGUUGACUAUGCUCAGUCAUGUAGCUUACUCGCUUGUGCUAUUUUACCUACGCUUAGGAUGUUGACGCGCGUGUGUGCGUG